Molecule: long non-coding RNA, 880 nt
Filed under: Crocodylus porosus (Australian saltwater crocodile)
Lineage: Eukaryota; Metazoa; Chordata; Crocodylia; Crocodylidae
Description: lncRNA (ENSCPRG00005007526.1)
Source: RNAcentral
ACUACCGUAACCCACAAGGGGAUUAGAAUGGAUAGUCUCUCUCUCUCCCUCUCCCUCCUCUGAGUCACAGUGCUAGCAAAUACAGCCACAGUGCAGUGUGGGCAGACAGGAAACCACUAAAGCCAGAGCAGUGAUUAUGUGCAUGCUCUGAGAGACGCAUUGAGCAGUGAGCCGAAAUGUUUGUGUGUGUCAGAUCAAUCUUUUCACUGACCAGGACAGCUGUACUCGCAGGGGGAUCACCAAUCAUCCUGCGAGGAACUGCUUCUGUCCUUCAACAGGCAAUUAACGCUUACCAGGACUCUGCACUAGAUUUCCCAAAGGUGACAACUUCACCAUUCAUUCCAAGAUUUAGCGCAAAACAGCAAGAGCCAUUCAAAUGCCCUGCAGUUGCACCAGCAAAGAAGCUCCAUCCAAAACCCUUCAGACUACAAAGAAUGGUCUACAGCACAUGCUUACUCCAAAGACUAUUUGAAUGCAUUUAUGCAAUCCACUAAUGCAGGUCAUUAUCCCUUGUGACAUUAGCAGUAUUGCCAGGUUGAUGUUUAAUAGAAGCUGCCGACUGGUGUUCAAGAUACUAGUUAACAAGACGCUUUCUUUUAAUGACCUGUAUUGAUGAAUGAAUUAAUGGAAUUCCACAACUUCUUUUUGUGUUGAAAGAACCCACAUGACACUCCUGAGCAGCAGAUAAUGUUCUCCAUUAAUGCUUCAGUUUGGGCCAAGAGAUAAAACAAGCUCCAAGUGUGCCCUCUUGUAUGCAAUCUGGAGACAACCAUGGUAAAAUACCGUAGAGGGUCAACAGCUAAUUACUUCUUUGGAGCUCCACUAAUUCACACCAAUUAAAGAUCUAGGUCACUAUGUAAAGUCAAAGUAAAUAGUGGAG